UCGAGCGGUAGAGAGAAGCUUGCUUCUCUUGAGAGCGGCGGACGGGUGAGUAAUGCCUAGGAAUCUGCCUGGUAGUGGGGGAUAACGUUCGGAAACGGACGCUAAUACCGCAUACGUCCUACGGGAGAAAGCAGGGGACCUUCGGGCCUUGCGCUAUCAGAUGAGCCUAGGUCGGAUUAGCUAGUUGGUGGGGUAAUGGCUCACCAAGGCGACGAUCCGUAACUGGUCUGAGAGGAUGAUCAGUCACACUGGAACUGAGACACGGUCCAGACUCCUACGGGAGGCAGCAGUGGGGAAUAUUGGACAAUGGGCGAAAGCCUGAUCCAGCCAUGCCGCGUGUGUGAAGAAGGUCUUCGGAUUGUAAAGCACUUUAAGUUGGGAGGAAGGGUUGUAGAUUAAUACUCUGCAAUUUUGACGUUACCGACAGAAUAAGCACCGGCUAACUCUGUGCCAGCAGCCGCGGUAAUACAGAGGGUGCAAGCGUUAAUCGGAAUUACUGGGCGUAAAGCGCGCGUAGGUGGUUUGUUAAGUUGGAUGUGAAAUCCCCGGGCUCAACCUGGGAACUGCAUUCAAAACUGACUGACUAGAGUAUGGUAGAGGGUGGUGGAAUUUCCUGUGUAGCGGUGAAAUGCGUAGAUAUAGGAAGGAACACCAGUGGCGAAGGCGACCACCUGGACUAAUACUGACAC
RNAcentral lists this ribosomal RNA (689 nucleotides) under Pseudomonas sp. G5_1. RNAcentral's name for it is "bacterial SSU rRNA". It matches the Rfam family "Bacterial small subunit ribosomal RNA", at positions 62 to 746 of the family's 1533-position model. Lineage: Bacteria; Pseudomonadati; Pseudomonadota; Gammaproteobacteria; Pseudomonadales; Pseudomonadaceae. The record is from RNAcentral.